RNAcentral lists this long non-coding RNA (976 nucleotides) under Anas platyrhynchos platyrhynchos (common mallard). RNAcentral's name for it is "lncRNA (ENSAPLG00000031105.1)". The record is from RNAcentral. Lineage: Eukaryota; Metazoa; Chordata; Aves; Anseriformes; Anatidae.
CUGAGCAGAAUCAAUUCAAAAUAAUUCACCUGCACAGGGCUUCCACUUUCCGGGUACGUAUUUCACUUUCUGGGGUACCCGCGCCUGAUGUCUCCAGCCCGUGGGGAGCACAGAGCUAACCCCAAAGGGCUCUGUGCAGCAAUUACACCUGCUGCCACCCCUAGCAGGAGUUAGGGUGAAGGUUACGAGGUCCGAAAUGGGCCGGUCGGCACUUUGUUCGAGGAGAAGCUUUAAUUUAGAUGCUCACCCGAGGAGCCCGUGCUGGGACGAGCACACGCGUCCCCUUUCCUCCUCCUCAUGGGCAAGCUGGUCCCUUGCAAGCAGCGAUUCUGCCUUUAGGGGUGGCAAUAAACGGGUCGGAGGGAUUUUAUGGGAACCCCGAGAUAGGAGCGAUGAAAACACAACCCCCCAGCACCGCAGCUCGGAUGUAUGGGGCUGUCCAGGAGACCCUACAGGAGUCGCUCCCAGCAGGACCCGCUCGUCCCAAAGCACCUCAUGCUCACCUGUGCCCCCUUCUCCUGCCCCCCUGUGAGCCCGGACCCUAUUGGCACCGGCUCCAUCCCCGCUGCCCCCCUGGAAUCGCCCCGGGACCCCCACCCACUGGUUCCCUUCCCGAAGCAGCGUCCUUGGGGAGUCAGAGGGGCAGCCAUCAAUUACAAAAUAAAUGUAAAAAUAUGGGGUGGAGAAGUACCGGCCAAGGGAGCUCUCCGAGCUGGUGUCGCACCGGGACAUCCUCAGCACCAGUGAGUAGCGGGGGGACAACAGCACCCCCAGUACCCCCCCGGCCCCAGCAGCACCCCCAUCCUCACCAGCACCCUCCUACCAGCACCCCCAACCCCUCCCAGCACCUCACCACCACCCCCCAGCAACCCCCCCAGCACCCCCCCAGCAACCCCCCGAUUCCUACCAACACCCCCCAUUCCCCUUAUUCCCCCCAGCACCACCCCAUUCCCCCCAGCACCCCCCCCAGCAACCU